UACGUAGGGUGCGAGCGUUAAUCGGAAUUACUGGGCGUAAAGCGCGCGUAGGCGGCUUUGCAAGUCGGGUGUGAAAUCCCCAGGCUUAACCUGGGAACUGCAUUCGAGACUGCAUUGCUAGAGUAUGGGAGAGGGAAGUGAAAUUUCCGGUGUAGCGGUGAAAUGCGUAGAUAUCGGAAGGAACAUCAGUGGCGAAAGCGACUUCCUGGACCAAUACUGACGCUCAUGUGCGAAAGCGUGGGGAGCAAACAGG
RNAcentral lists this ribosomal RNA (253 nucleotides) under uncultured bacterium. RNAcentral's name for it is "partial 16S ribosomal RNA". It matches the Rfam family "Bacterial small subunit ribosomal RNA", at positions 524 to 776 of the family's 1533-position model. The record is from RNAcentral.